GGAGGAUGCAAGUGUUAUCCGGAAUCACUGGGCGUAAAGCGUCUGUAGGUGGUUUAAUAAGUCAACUGUUAAAUCUUGAGGCUCAACCUCAAAAUCGCAGUCGAAACUAUUAGGCUAGAGUAUAGUAGGGGUAAAGGGAAUUUCCAGUGGAGCGGUGAAAUGCGUAGAGAUUGGAAAGAACACCGAUGGCGAAGGCACUUUACUGGGCUAUUACUAACACUCAGAGACGAAAGCUAGGGUAGCAAAUGGGAUUAGAUACCCCAGUAGUCCUAGCCGUAAACAAUGGAUACUAGAUGUUGAACAGAUCGACCUGUGCAGUAUUAAAGCUAACGCGUUAAGUAUCCCGCCUGGGAAGUAUGCUCGCAAGAGUG
RNAcentral lists this ribosomal RNA (371 nucleotides) under uncultured organism. Its description in RNAcentral is "bacterial SSU rRNA". It matches the Rfam family "Bacterial small subunit ribosomal RNA", at positions 527 to 896 of the family's 1533-position model. The record is from RNAcentral.